RNAcentral lists this transfer RNA (62 nucleotides) under Kluyveromyces lactis. RNAcentral describes it as "partial transfer RNA". Lineage: Eukaryota; Fungi; Ascomycota; Saccharomycetes; Saccharomycetales; Saccharomycetaceae. The record is from RNAcentral.
UAGUCGGUUAUGGCAUCUGCUUAACACGCAGAACGUCCCCAGUUCGAUCCUGGGCGAAAUCA